This 353-nucleotide ribosomal RNA is filed under the name Yersinia bercovieri. RNAcentral describes it as "bacterial LSU rRNA". It matches the Rfam family "Bacterial large subunit ribosomal RNA", at positions 1084 to 1348 of the family's 2925-position model. Lineage: Bacteria; Pseudomonadati; Pseudomonadota; Gammaproteobacteria; Enterobacterales; Yersiniaceae. The record is from RNAcentral.
CACAGACAGCCAGGAUGUUGGCUUAGAAGCAGCCAUCAUUUAAAGAAAGCGUAAUAGCUCACUGGUCGAGUCGGCCUGCGCGGAAGAUGUAACGGGGCUAAACCAUGCACCGAAGCUGCGGCAGCGAACGUAUCACCCAAGACAAUUUGAUGAUGUGGAUAAUGAUUGACGGAGCACAGCGACGUCAAUGCGUCCAAUAAAGUCGAGUUGGCUUAGGGAUACGUUCGUUGGGUAGGGGAGCGUUCUGUAAGCCGUUGAAGGUGACCUGUGAGGGUUGCUGGAGGUAUCAGAAGUGCGAAUGCUGACAUAAGUAACGAUAAUGCGGGUGAAAAACCCGCACGCCGGAAGACCAA